CCUACGGGGGGCAGCAGUGGGGAAUAUUGGACAAUGGGGGGAACCCUGAUCCAGCCAUGCCGCGUGUGUGAAGAAGGCCCUCGGGUUGUAAAGCACUUUCAGUGAGGAAGAACGCCUGGUGGUUAAUACCCAUCAGGAAAGACAUCACUCACAGAAGAAGCACCGGCUAACUCCGUGCCAGCAGCCGCGGUAAUACGGAGGGUGCGAGCGUUAAUCGGAAUUACUGGGCGUAGAGCGCGCGUAGGUGGCUUGAUAAGCCGGUUGUGAAAGCCCCGGGCUCAACCUGGGAACGGCAUCCGGAACUGUCAAGCUAGAGUGCAGGAGAGGAAGGUAGAAUUCCCGGUGUAGCGGUGAAAUGCGUAGAGAUCGGGAGGAAUACCAGUGGCGAAGGCGGCCUUCUGGACUGACACUGACACUGAGGUGCGAAAGCGUGGGUAGCAAACAGGAUUAGAUACCCUUGUAGUC
This 465-nucleotide ribosomal RNA is filed under the name Vreelandella stevensii. Its description in RNAcentral is "partial 16S ribosomal RNA". It matches the Rfam family "Bacterial small subunit ribosomal RNA", at positions 338 to 795 of the family's 1533-position model. Lineage: Bacteria; Pseudomonadati; Pseudomonadota; Gammaproteobacteria; Oceanospirillales; Halomonadaceae. The record is from RNAcentral.